Molecule: ribosomal RNA, 364 nt
Filed under: Escherichia coli
Lineage: Bacteria; Pseudomonadati; Pseudomonadota; Gammaproteobacteria; Enterobacterales; Enterobacteriaceae
Description: partial 23S ribosomal RNA
Rfam family: Bacterial large subunit ribosomal RNA
Source: RNAcentral
CUUGAGUGGAUCCUGAGUACGACGGAGCACGUGAAAUUCCGUCGGAAUCUGGGAGGACCAUCUCCUAAGGCUAAAUACUCUCUAGUGACCGAUAGUGAACCAGUACCGUGAGGGAAAGGUGAAAAGCACCCCGGAAGGGGAGUGAAAUAGAACCUGAAACCGUGUGCUUACAAGUAGUCAGAGCCCGUUAAUGGGUGAUGGCGUGCCUUUUGUAGAAUGAACCGGCGAGUUACGAUUUGAUGCAAGGUUAAGCAGUAAAUGUGGAGCCGUAGCGAAAGCGAGUCUGAAUAGGGCGUUUAGUAUUUGGUCGUAGACCCGAAACCAGGUGAUCUACCCUUGGUCAGGUUGAAGUUCAGGUAACACU